Non-coding RNA from Rattus norvegicus (Norway rat), 10022 nucleotides. The record is from RefSeq and is a predicted model, not a curated record. NCBI's taxonomy places the organism in Eukaryota, Metazoa, Chordata, Mammalia, Rodentia, Muridae.
AAUAUAUUCCAUAUUGCAUAUUACUCAUGCAUUACAUAUUUUAUAUUAUGUGUGUAUGUAUUUGUGUGUAUAUGCUUUAGAACUCUCAGUGAGCUCAACACCAAGUAAUUUCCCUGGCAAAUGCAAAUUCUAUUCUUUAUAAUCUAGAAGACAGAAAGAACAAGGAGCUGGACUGUAUAUAUUUACGUACAUGUCUGUAUUCUUUACAAAAUUCCAGCUCCUCGAAGCAAACAUUAAUCCGGGUCUUUUGUCUCCCAGGAUAGCUAAUUCCAUGUAAAGCACAUAGUAGGAACUAACGGAAUUAAAUUUAAUUAUAAAAAUCUAUCAGUUCUUGCCAAAGGUAUUAGCUAAUGCAUGCUUGAAGACAUUAACUAACAAUUAGGAUUUUAAAAGUCAGUAUUCCCAUGAAUUUUGGCUGGGAAGACAUAUUUCCUUACUGAUGAGCAUAAGGCUUUUCAGACCAAGAAUCUGGUAUCCUGCAAUCUCUUGCCAGCGAGGGCUGGUGGGUGUGAGGAAAGAGGCUGCUGGUCUGAGUGCAGAUGUCAGCAAGUGGUUAGCAUUUGAGUGUCUCUUGCCAGGGCUCAAGACUCAGAAGGAGACGAGAGAUGACCCAAGGGCUGAAGACGCUUUUCCACUUUGGCUUCCAGUUCCUAAGCUGUCUAGCCUGUCCUCUUCUCCCGAAUGAUUUCAUGAUUCUUGUCCAUCACUCCCUUGAGAAAUUUGGUUCAAAUGGUUUCUUUGUUAAACUCUACCGUGUGCAAAGUUUACAUCUAGAGGCAAGGAUAGGAAGACUAUUAAGCAAGCAUUAUCCCAUUUGAGAACUGCGACUUAACUCAUCAGUAGUCGAGGGGAGGUGACUGGGACAUUUCCUCUGCCCUGGGCUUUUCUCUUGCUUGUUCACAGGUGAGUAUGUGCACGCACACAUUCAUGCACACGUUAGUGUUUCCACAGGUGACUGAAGCUGAGGAUUGCUUCAGACUUCCUACUUUGGUGAUGUGACUAGAUAUAGCACGAGUUAUGUCUGACUUUUGGGAGGCAAUGGCUAGGAAGGCAAUGGGCAGGGAAGGAAGCAUGAUGGUCCGACAUGGCUUGACUUUUUGUGUAAAUUUAUCUAUGAGUUAAAUGGUUGAGAAAUGGACAAUGGGGGUUGUCAAUUCUUUAGGCUUUCACCUGUUUGUAUAUUCAAUAGGUGUUGGCUAAAUAUGUAACAUGUGCUAGGAACUAGGAAGAUCACAGAAAACAGGAGAAUAAAGAUCAAACCCGUAAAGACAGAGAUUUAAUCAAAUCACCAAUACCUCCGUGUAUCUAAGACAAAGGCUAAGCAUUUAAUAUCACGAGAGAGUGUAGCAGGGGGAUUCAGCUGCUCAGGCCUCCCUUUCAUUGACUAGCUUUGCUCAUAUAAUGCUUUUUAGAAGGCUUAUAUGGCACAUGUAUAUUUCCCCUUCAUCUUGUCUUUUCUCUCCAGGUCAGCCUGUAUCCAUGGUUUAAACUGACUGGAUGGAACAUCUCGCUUUUUCUUUUUCCCUCCUGUUUUGUAUGUAUGUAUGUAUGUAUGUAUGUAUGUAUGUAUGUAUUUCACGCCAUCAGAAGUAUUUUAAUCGAGCCAUGUUUACUCAGCAUCUUGAGGAGAUGCUCAGGACUGCAUCGUAAAUGCAAUUUCUCUAGUCACGCAGCAGCCACUGUAGGAUGUUGUCAAUGGGCUGGAAAACAGGGCUGAGUGAUGGAUCAGUAAACUUGGCUUUUAUGUUGCGUGGUCCAAUUUUGAACCGUAUUAUAUUAAAAUAGAGUGCACUGGAGGUGGAAUAAUGUGAGGUAAGAACAAGAACUCAACCAGCCCUGCCAGUCACCCACAGGAGGUCUGGCAUAAGAAGGAGAUCUUCUCUGAGCCUCAGUGACUGCAUCUGUAAUAUGGGAAUUAUUGUUGCUACCAUUCUGCAGCUUUUUCUAAAGGCGUCACUAAGGCCAAGAGAGCAGUUGAAGGCUCAGAUAGUGCCUUGAUUUAGCACAAGGGUCAGUGAAUAUCUGUCUCUUUCCUUACUUCUGUAGGUCUGCCGAGCUGUGUGUCGUGGGUUCAUAUCCCACUUCUAUCAGUUACAUAGUUUCAAACACAGGCCUACUUUACUGUGGGAAGCUGAUUAAAGCGAAAAAUUCAGGAAGAAUUCCUAUUCAGAUACGGAGAAGUGAGAUGCCCGUACCUUCGUUCAUAAGACAAUUCUACAGAGGAGGGGAGGGAAGAUGAAUGUGUAUUAAAAUUAUUCAAACCGUGAGCAGGCUCCGCGACUUAGACACAGAUGAGUUAAUUGUUUUGCCUUAAACAUAUUUCCUGAAGAACAGAAGCCUCGCAACCGCACACACUGCUAUGUAUUUUAGACAAAUAGCACUCUGAAUCAAAUUAUGCUUCAUGCAUAAAAUAUUAAAAUAAGACAUUUAUAACAAAUCUUUCUAACUUAGUGCCUAGCUCCAAAACAGAUUUAUAUAUGGAUAAGCAAUAGGUGUGAUAAAUGCAGUGCAGAUACAUUAAUUUAAAUUGCAAAUCAAAAGGGCAUCGUGGUAAGGAGAAGAAUGCCGUUCUGCAGGACUGAAGAGACCCAGCUCUGCAGUACUUGUAGGGCUACUGCCUGUUUGGGUUCCAUGCGUGCCUGGGCGCUACAUCUGGGAAUUCGACUUUCUGUCUUUCUCAUAGCUUCUUACGAUCUCAGGUUAAAUUACUGAUUGGAAUUCCUAUUCAUUGUUCCUUAAGUUGGUUGCUGAAAUUUUGCUAAUGCAUACUUCCCUGAGUCUUCAAAGUUGUUUCACUUGUUUGGGAGAGUUUAGGAAAACAUCUCUAUUUUCCAGUUUGCAUAAAAGAAGGGGGAUGCCUUCCCCGUGCGUGAGUGGGCUGUUCCGCAGCAAACCUAGGCUGUGGACUGGUGCUCUUUUGCGGCUUUCGAGGCGUGUGGCGAAUGUAGCGACAAUUUCUCUUCAGAAACAAUCCCUAAUAAACAUUAUUAAGCUCGUUUGAUUUAUUUGGAAAACCUUUAGCGCUUCCAAGUAGAAUGUGUAUGGGACUGAACACUUUAGGAUUCCACAACCUGUUAGCACUGUAAGAGUCCCAGCCUGACCGGAGCCCUCGGGUAUCCCCUGCAUGAAGCUGUGUUUUGGGAUUCAUAAGAUGCACUAACCUUAGGGAAGAACAUCCUGUACUCUCACCAUCACUGGCCAUGGAAACAGGCAGCUAAGACGUUCCAGGCGGGCCCUCUGAGGACCAAAGGGCUGUCGGAGGAAAGUAGAGAGCCAGGCAAAAUGUUAAAGCAGUAUUUUCCAGAGCUGACAGCUUAAGACGUGUCUUUUAGCCCCAUUUGUGCUUAUAGCCAGUGAACUGAGACUGUCCUACUUAGCAAGCAAUAGAGCUGUUUUACUGCGAGCCUGUCUCCUACACCUCAUCUGUACUCUGGAGAGAGUCUCCUUCCUGUCAAGGAUCCCAAAGUGAGUUUUUUCAUUUUGUUAAUCCACAGAGAAUAUGUGGUAUUAAGUUUUUAAUGUGUGGGUUGCUCAUACAGUAAGUCCUCUGUCUUCCUCUUUCAUAGUCUGCUUACCGCCGCUGUUCUCUAAACUCUUUAGUAGUUGUUGAAUAAAAAGCAAGAAAGUUGUGAUGUUGUUGCUGGAGAGAUAGCUCAGUGGUCAGAGCACUGCCUGCUCUUCCGGAGGACCUGAGUUUGAUUUCCACUGCCCACAUGGUGGCUCACAACCGUUUGUGACUACAGUUCCAGGGGAUCUGAUGCCCUCUUCUGGCUUCCACAGGAAACCUGAAAAACAGGCAGAUAAAACUCCUAUACACAUUAAAAAAUAAAUAAUGCUUUCAAAAUGCCUUUUAAAACAGUAAGGGAGAAACAAAUGCCUUGUAUUUCAGAUUCUGGGUGGCAACCUUCGAUCAUAGAAUAUACCAGCCAGUCAGGAGCCAUUCUAGAAGAGAAGAAUAGGGCCUAGUUAUAUCCCAAUGAUAAGUUUUACACAGCAGAACACAACAGAACACACACACACACAGACACACACACACACACACUCUCUAACACACACAGACACAGACACACAGACACACACACUCUCACACACACACAGAUACACCCACAGACACAGACACACACAGACACAUACACACACACACUCUUUCACACACACACACACACACACACUCUUUCACACACACACACACACACACACACACACACACACACACACACACACACGCGCGCGCAUGCGCGCACGCACGCACGCACGCACGCACGCACGCACGCACGCACGCACGCGCGCGCGCCUGACAUUUACCUCCAUUUAAUCUGGUAAACAUAAAUAAUAAUUAGGAAGAAGUUAAAUACAAGCAAGUUCUGCACUGUUAGACUUGGAAAUAAGGUGUGUUGUCAUGGGUUACUAAGGGUUUAUUCUGUGAAGAGUCAAGCACAGUGUUAAAAUAGAAGCGUUGUGCUAGAUCUGUACCACCCGGCACUUCCAUUAGGUCACAUGAUCUCAGUUGAGUACAACUCUGAUUGGAGGCUUCAGUACAAAAAUAUGAAACCUCAAGAAUUUUAUCUAGAAAUAGCAUUAUUUUCGAUGUUAGAUUAAAUAGUGUGUAUUAUUAAAUCAACUUUCAGAGUCUAAUGGUUAGCAUCCUCAACUUGACAAGAUCUAGAACCACUGCAAUGUCAGUAGGCGUGUUUGUGAGGGAUUAUCUUCAGGCAGGAAGACCUACCUUCAAGGUGAGGACCAUCAUGCCAUUGGUGAGGUAACCCUUCCUUGGGUUGUUCAUGUAAGGACAUUUUGAUCACAGAAAUAGAAAAGGAGGUAUAAUGUGUUUCUUUUCACUUCCUUAAAAUGUGGCUCUUUGAAAAUUCAACAAUUGUGUGUGUCUCACACUAUGGAUCGUACCGAUGGGGGUGACCAGAUGUGAUGUAAAGAAACGCAAAACUGAUUUUGGCAUCUGAUCAAUGGCAAGUGUGCUCCAUGGCAUACCCAGAGUUCGCUGUAAAUGCCUGAGGUGACUCCUCACUGAGGACCUGCAGAUGGAUGUGAACACUUGCUCCAGAUGCGAUGCCUACAAGCAGCCAUACCAUGGAGAAGGAGUCUUAUUCUUCUGGAACUGCGAACCAAAAGAAUCCCUUCUUUCUCCAUUCAGAAAGGACCAGAAUCUCCUGUUCUAGAGGGUUGGAAGAUCUAUAUGGCUCAAGCAGGUCAAUUAGGCUACGUCUCUGAUAACGUCUGCCAUGCUCCUUCAUAGAGAUGUGAGACUUGGGGCCCUCACUUCAUCAUCUCCAGCUCAGUUCCUGUUGAGGUGAAGGGACUCCUCCAGUGAUGCAAUUGACAGGAACAAUGGUAAGCUCAAUGGCAAGGUGGACCCCAGCCGGCUGGGAUGAAUGUGUAGAAGAGCAUGUGCCAUCUCCCCUGUGAAGAUCUCAACCCCAGGUCUGAAAGCUGCUGCUCUGGCUACUGGAUUGUCAUAUAUGUUCCAAGGCAGCCAGUGUCCAAUCCCAGGGAUAGCUUCCUUCUCUAGUUGGGGAAACUGAAGGACUCUAAUUUCAAAUAGCUCUGCAAGCAUUCAGCAGUGACAGGAUCAAUUAGUGUGUUUCACCUUUUCCAUUUCACUCAACAAGCUGUUGCUUUUGUCUGUCCCUGUUUCUAAAGCAAGCCUCACUAGCAUUUCUAUCAAUGACAAUGGUUGGGCGUUUACUGUUACCCUGUGUUUUGUUCUUCUGAUGGGAUGAGGACAGAGUAACAGGUAUUGAACUGAACCUCUUUGGCAGCUUUGUAGAGGACAACUGGAGAGUAAAGGGAAAUGUAUUAAAGCCCUGCUAUCUUAUUUGUGUGGUUUGAGACUUAUGACAACCAGGUGUUAUUUAUAGUUAAUCCACGUAUUUUUUCCCGAUAUAUUUUAGUAAUCUCUACUUAAUUGGUGAGAAAACUGCACCUAUUUUACCUGAGGUUCAUAAUCUGUGUGUAUCACUGGUGGGAUUGAAUUUGAGGUCACCUAGUUUGACAGUCUCUGCCUUUAGCUACUAGGUCAUAUUUGUUAUGUUUCUACAUUUUGUUUUUGCCUACAAAAUACUUGAAGAGACUCUUACUCACAAGGCACUAUACGAGCUAAGUUCGGGAAUAUGAGGCAAUGAACCCAGUUACAUUCUACAAAGCACAGCAACACUCAAGGAGUGUGGGGGACAUGGCCAUUCUACACAAUAUACUAGUGAGGACUUCUCCCCACCCUCGUGACUCUGACUCUUCACUGGGGAAAGGGAAAGGGCUCAGCUGUUUGCAAGAUCACCAAGCCACUUCAUGUGGAGAGCGGAGUAUUUGCUCAGGUAUGCAUCCAUUGGUAGAGCUUUCAGAUGAGUUGUGUCAGGGAGAAACUGAAUUCCUGCCUACCCAACUAGCAAACAUGUGUUAAGGGAUAGUAAGAUAUAAGAUUCAUAAAUACUUGGAUACGUUAUAUUCUUACUUUUAAAUAGUUCAAGUCCCCAGAAGUUUAUACUUCAACAAAAAAAGACAACAUGCAAUGUUACAAGCACUUGUGCAUUUCAUGUUUAAUUAACAUAGGGCUAUCUUUACAGUUGUAUUGCUACAUACAAGUGCCAUAAGGAAAAAACAGGGAGGGGAAGAAAGUAGGUAAAGGUUUAUCUUCCAAUAGUUCUAGCAUAUAUCAUUUAGCGGGCUGCAGGGCUUCUCAUUCCCCAUGUCUUUAGAGUUUCACAUUGGGUGCUCUUGUUUAGCAAAAAAUGAAUCCAUUUUUUUUUUUUUUUGUGAAAUCUACAGGCAGCAUGAGCUUGGCCAAUGUACCAGCCUCCUAGGAAUACUAAAUGUACCCCAUUUUGUUUAUAGGAAAGAAGCAAAUUAAGACAGACCUCUUUUGUGCAAACAAUAAACUGAGUUUAACAAGACCAGGGGCUUGGGAAUCCAUGAUGAGGCUGCUUGCUUUUCCUGGCACCUUGUUAAACAUGGUUGAAAGUUUGCAUGCUGGGGCACAGCCUGCUUUCUCUUUGUUCCGGGGAAUGGCUGGGAAGGGCCUGGUAGACCUGGGCAGGCCAGCUGGAAUUUCAAACAUGGCCAGAAGAGAGCAGGGUGCUUGUUCCUUAGCACCCACAUCUGCUAGACCUGAGGACAAGCCCUCGGAAGUCUGAGACUUUCCAACCCUGACUCCAACAUCUAAUGAUGCUUUUUAUAGACCCUUCUUACGUCUCAAUGAAGUCCUUCAUCCUGUAGCUCAGUGCAUCUCCUUUUGUUCAGCCCUGAGUAAAGACAGAGAACAGCUGGUCAGCAUUCCCUGUAGAACAACUCUGUUGGAAACUAUUAUUAAUUCCUCAUAGCCUUCCCUCCUCCAAACCGCUACUGUGGCUGUCUUUAGUCUGCUUCCCCAUUUACCUUCUCUCUUUGGCUUCAGGUUCUUCUCCAGCUGUUUGCUUCCCGAAGCUACCUAGAAAUCUAAAUGCACUGGUGUGUGUGUGUGUGUGUGUGUGUGUGUGUGUGUGUGUGUGUGUGUGUGUGUGUGUGUAUGUGUGUGUGUGUGUGUGUGUGUGUGUGUUGGAAUUGUUACUGCAAAAUAAUGGCUGGGAUCUUGUUUUUCAAUUAGCAUGAUCUUGUUUUGGAUAGCUCAGUCUUUAUAGUAGAUGUCAUGCAUUGGCUUGAAUUACUGAAGACUUUCCCCAUCUUUAAGCAUUUUGGGUCUAGAAAGAUCUUACUUACAAGAAUAGUUUUUUAACCAGAAAUUUACAAUUAAGUCUUUUUAAAAUAUCCGAUGACAUACUGUGCCAUACUGUUUUAAAUGUGCUCAUGAAAUCAGAGAUGGAGUGCCAUUCUAUGUGUAUGUGCAUGAAGAUCUAUAUACUAACUCUGAUGGUUAGUAAUAGUUUCUUUGAAUUAACUGGUAAAAUGGACUCCAAUGUUGUUUACUAGCAAGUGAGGAAUAAGAAGGUGGAAAUGAAUGUUUCACAGUUAGCUGAGAAAAGGUAUGGCAGUACUUUUGCUGAGUUAUUGUGGGGCUAAGUAAGAGGUCCUAAAGUUAAAAUUAAAACUAAUUGUGAAAUGUAGUCUUUCCUUCUUCAGUAGGUAGCACAUCUCUAUUGAGCCAUCUAUGAGGAACAUCAUUUAUUAAUCUCUCCUUUACUUAUACACUACGUCAUUUUACCACCCUUCUUUCUUCUGAAUCCUCUAUUCUGUUGGCUGGGAAGCAGUAUUGAAAAGCACCACCAUUUGUCUGUCUUAUCCUAUGAAUUUGUCAACUUCUUGUCCCAACAGCUCAAGAGGUGGCCAGCUUGCCUUCCCCCUCCCAGGCUGCUGUCACCCUAGGUUUUAUUUGUUUAGUAAAUUCAUUGCUUAUCAGUGGCCAGUGCUGCCUAGUGUCAUCCAUAAAAUGCCACUUCUGACUCUCUUUAGCAGGUCCCCAAGUAGCUACCAUCCAAACUACUUAAUCUAAUUUUCUUUCUUUUUCAAAUAAGCUUUCCAUUUUUCAAAAAUAUUUUGUUUUACACAUUCAGAAUAUUUUUCUACCCAUUAAGAUCUGCUCUUCUCUUUCCAUCGAGCUAUGUUUUGUGGGCACAUAAUCAUUCACAAAGCUUUCUACUAUCUUGCCACUCUAUAGUGAUGUCUCUGUUAUCUAACCUCUUCCUACAAAUAAAUUCUCUUUGUUAGCCCAAAUAGUUAGUGUAUUGUACUAACUGCUUUGUGUGAGCAGUUGGUUCUCUCUCUUCUUAUGGAUGAGUUUCCUCCUAGGAAGACACUUGUCUCUUUGCCUCUUUAUUUUACUUCCUUUCCAUCUGUAUCAAUCUACCCCACAGCAGUGGUAUAUGCAGAAACCCUAAUCAAAAAAAUUCCAACCCCAUGAUCCUCCAAAUACCCAGGCUGACAGCUUUUUACUUAAAGGUAAUUCUUAAAAAAAUUCGAUUAGUCUUUACAGAUUUGGGUAGAUAGAUUAAUAUUUCAGAAGGUAUAGUUAUUGGUGACACGAGUAAAGAAAAAUGUAUUUGGAAAUCAUACAUAGUUAAUAAAUGAUUCUCUUUGGAGGAAGAAUAAAAGUGAUUUCUUUUUGACAGGGCUUAAAGUAUUAUUAAUUACAGAGAUGCUAAUAUGUUAUUGAGGAACAGCAAGAAAAUGUAUGGAAAUGGAAUUUCUCAUCUGACUUGCAUAAAAUGGUGAGGAAAUAUUCACAUUGCUCUUCUCUGGUGCAGUGAGCAUGUCAGAAAACUGCAGGCAAAAUUCUCAGCAAGAAAAAGUCUUGAUCAGUCAUUAGUACAUAAUAGUCACUAGAGUAAUCAAGAAAAAGCAGAGAGGCACCUGUUGACUACAGUGUAUCUCUCACGUUUUGAUAGGCCAUUCUUUAACUGAAGAAGGUUUUACAACUCAGGCAAGACACAGGAGGACCCCAGCCUGGCUUUCCUUGUAUUCCCUGUAUGACUGUGAUGGUGGGGCUAACUGCAAUUCACCUGAGAGACAGAGUACAGUCGUACCAUACCGUUGCAUCCCCGAGCCACAGGGUAGUGACUUAAUUGAUUUAUACUUUAGUCUUUACAGAUGGCAGCUGAGUGUCAAAGGUCUUUCUUUUGUGUAGUACUGCAAAACUGGUUGUCAAACAACCUCCACUCAUUUAAUAAUUUACCCCAUUUUGUAGAAGAAAGGCAACUGACAUGCAGUAAAUCUACUCCAUAUUUAAAUUACCACAUUGAACAAUAACGAGAAUGAAAAAUCUAGUCCAUUAUUUAAAAUUAAACAUAUAUGAAACUGUUUUGUCCAAAUUAUCACCAAAGGCUGUAGUUUAAAGAGAGAACUGAAGCCCUGAGUGGAAUAAAAAUGCCUAACGGUGCUUUGAGAGUGGCACUGGGAUUAUUUAUUCUAUUUUUUUCUAUACAUAAGGAAUUGAGCUAAAUGAACAAUGUUUAAGCAUGUCAGAAUUUCAUCAAUUUUGCAUGAGCAUUCUCAAAUAUCCUGGUGGGGGUAAUUGCUUGCAAAUACAUUUAAACUAAUGAUAUGUUAUAUCCUUACUUGAUAUAAAACUAUUAAAAGAUACA